RNAcentral lists this ribosomal RNA (252 nucleotides) under uncultured bacterium. RNAcentral describes it as "partial 16S ribosomal RNA". It matches the Rfam family "Bacterial small subunit ribosomal RNA", at positions 524 to 776 of the family's 1533-position model. The record is from RNAcentral.
UACGAAGGGGCUAGCGUUGUUCGGAAUUACUGGGCGUAAAGCGCGUGUAGGCGGGUCUUUAAGUCAGGGGUGAAAUGCCAAGGCUCAACCUUGGAACUGCCUUUGAUACUGGAGACCUUGAGUCCGGGAGAGGUGAGUGGAAUUGCGAGUGUAGAGGUGAAAUUCGUAGAUAUUCGCAAGAACACCAGUGGCGAAGGCGGCUCACUGGCCCGGAACUGACGCUGAGGUGCGAAAGCGUGGGGAGCAAACAGG